UUGUAUAUAUGUAUAUUUAUGUAAUCUGAGUUAAAUGGUACUUGGAGGAAUUUGUACUCUCAUAGUCUUGGCCUUCAUGAAUCACAAAUUUGUUUGAGAAUAAACCUUGCAAUAGUGAGUGAAAAGAAAAUAGACAAGCAGGGAAAUCACAGACUAAAUGAAACUGGCAUUACAAGUCAUAAACUAGUUCAUCUCCAUGAUAGAAAAUAGAAGUAAUCUCACAUCAGGUUCAUAUGAAUAAUUAAUUCACCUUUCAUUCAAGAACACACUCUGAACUAAAAAUAUAUGUGAAGUGGUAUGCUACCUCUACUUAAAACCACUUUUUGGUUGGCAUGAUUUAACUACUGAACUGAAGCCUAAAAAGAGAGAAUGCCUUUACUAUUAAUCUUUAAUAAGCUAUGCCAAAUAGGAGAGCUGUAAUUCAACAGGCUACAGCAAAUAAUUCCACAUAAUUUUGGAUGUUAUAUAACUUUAAUUUAUUGAGAAAACACUGUCAAUAAAAAAGAUAGACUGUUAGUACUCUAUUCAAGGAUGCUAGUUUAGACAAGUUGCAAACAAAAUUUGAUUAAUGCCGGCAAAGAACUUCACUUUCCGUUGCCAAAAGUAUUUUUUUCCUGUGUUGCAGUACCUUAAUGCAAUGAAACAAACCAGUUACAUUUAACUUAGUUUCAUGAUCCCUUUAUGACACUAUGUAUUGCCAUGACCUCAAUAUAAUCAGAUCUGACUUUAUAAACAUUGUACAAAACCACUAAUCAUAGAUACAAGUAAUAAUUAGUGUUAAUUUUCAACUUGCCUCAAAGAAACUGUGACCUAAAGUAAUCAAAUUCAAAAAAGAUCCACCGAAAUGCAAGAAAUAUUAAUUUUUAUAGACAUAUUAAUAAAAUAAAAUAAAUAGAGAACCAUGCUUUUUGUAUUGAAAACAUUCAUAUAGUUUUACUUAUUUGCACUUAAUUAGUAGACGCCAGAAAUGUAUGGGUAGAAAAAUAAUAGAGCAUGGUCUAUUCAAUUAUGAUCAGAUACAUUUUUGCCUAUAUUAUAUUUAUAUAUUUGCCCAUAUAUAUUUCUAUUUUUUUUUUAUAUAUUACAACAAAAAGGAAUUAUUCAUGACAGCAAAUGCAUGAAGACAGGAAGAACAGUACUAAAGUGAAGAUACUAGGCACAACUGUCAUCUUAGUUAAUAUAUUCAAGUAAGGCAUUGCACUGGGCAGAAGGUUUGGAUUCAGGAUCCCUAUCACUGCUUUCCUUUGUAAUUUGGGCAUAUCACUUAUUUUCUAUGCCUGAUUGAUUUUUCAGGUCUUUUAGCACAAGUCAGUUGUUGUUUGACAGUUACAUAGCUCAUUAAUACAGAAGAAAAACAUAUCUCUUCAUCUAGAUAGAUUCCAAAUGUUAUCACAGCAGAUUUUAAUCUUAUUUUGCCGAUUUUUAAACUCUAGCUCAUUUCUCUGAAGCCUCCAAAGAUGAAAACAGGUUUGGUCUAACAAUUUCUUUCCCUUCAAACUGAUUAUUCAAUUUGUUCCAGUAAAGUUACUGGCAGGGAUAAGCUGGUCUUCUGUAGGCAGCAAUAAUUGAAAGUAAACAUUGAACACGAACUAAAAUAAGAAAAAAAAAAACAACAAAAGGCACAAAACCAAUAUACUUACUGCAAACAAAUAACUACAGCCUUGAAUUUAUCUUUGUACACCCUUCACUGUUAUUGUAUGGUAAGUUUUUUUCAUUUCUUCUUCAUAUCUUCAAGUAAUACAGCUAUUUUUAUGCAAAACGGAACUGAAAUGUAUCCUCCUUGAAUAAAGAAACAUCAUUUUGAGAGCACAUUCUAUAGGCAGAUUUGAAUCCCCAAAAUUUUUAUGAUUUAUGUCAUAGUGAUCCUUUUAUGUGAAAUUACCAAAAAUGGAGAAUAAGAAAAAAAAUUGCCUAUCAGAAUCUGAAAUCUCUACAGAAAAAACUAAACUUCAGAGCUUUCAAAUGUUUUGCUGAGUUCACUGCCUUUGUCUUCUCAUUAUUUAUAUGGAAUAUUUUGAAGUAUAUUUCAUGCCAGAACAUUGAGCUGUAAUGCAGCCAUUCAAUGUGAGAUAUUGUAUGAUUGUAGUGAAAAAUAUAUUGAAUAACAAAAUAAGUGUGAUGAUAUUAAUAUGAGCAAUAACUUUAAAAACUGCAGUCCUGUGUGUGUAAUAAACCCAGGUUUCCAUGACAAAAGGCUGAAGAUAAGCUCUAGUAGAAUAUGUUCUUACAUUUAGGAAUUCAUUGCAUGUUCUUGUGAAAAGUCCUUUUCCAGCUCUCUCUUGUAGCCAUCAUUAGGUGCUGGAAGGUUGCUCUAUCUCCCCAGACACUCCUCUACUUCAGUCUGAGUAACCCAAUUUUCUUAGUCUGUCUUCACAGGACAGGAGCUCCAGCCCUGGGAACAUCUUGGUGGUUCUCCUCUUGGCUUGUUUCAAAAGGUCCAAAUCCUUCCAUUCAAAGCCCCAGAUUUGGACAUAGGACUCAGGGUGGGGUUUCAUCAGAGCAGAGUUGAGGGAGAGAAUUGCCCUGGGAACUGAUGAAUAGAGAAAGAACCAAAGACACCCUAAGUGAACCCAAAACCCUGUUCCUGGACUGAGCACCACAAGGCUAGAAAGGACUGUGCUGACCUGUCAGACUUUUCUUCUGGAAUGCUGAGCUGUGCCCUGUGAGACAGGGAAGCUGUUCAAGGAACCACUAUGGUAACCUGGUAAACUUCUUUUUAGGGAGAAUGAAUGAAAAUAAAAAAAUUUCACUAAAUCAAGGAAACUGCCAUCUAUUUGUCUUGAAGAUUUUUGCUACUUCUGAUCAGAUUUUUAGUGGGAAAACAAAUCCUUGUACAUCAUCUAAGCUUUACAGACAAUGUAGAAAACUCAAAUAAAUGUUUGUAAAACAUUACACUCAUGCAUGAGUACAUAAGUACUGAUAUAUUGAUAUUCUGUUACAGUAUUUCAAUGUCUUAUGGUUGUAGCAAAAGGUGAAAACUGUACCACAAGUGAAAUUGAUGUACUUUUAGAGCAAAGAUAUAAAGGAAGAAAUUAGCCUAUUUUGAAUUUUCCAUAAAAUCACUGGGCAGUAACUGUAAGAAUGUUCUUUAAUGACUUUACCACAGACUAUAAGAAACAUUUUUAUUAUCUCAAAUAUAUUUGAAAUAAAUGUAACACUUUUUAUUUAAACUAAUAUAAACAUAGAGCUUUAAAUUCAAAUUAAUUUAAUUUCAAAUAGAUAUAUUGAUUCUGUGACAGAGUUAUGCCCCCUGUCAUUGGCAAAUGUAUUAGUCACAAUAUAUUAGCAUAAUGAAAAGGUGAACUCCACCUCAUGAAACAGACAACCCAUACCCUUUUCUUUACAUUCGGUACUCCCAUAUGACUACUCCGUAGCCUUUGGGGUCCUUACAUUGUUUUGAUUAGAAAACAUGAUACUGUUCUUUCCUCAGUUUAAGCCAAAUGUGGUAAAAUCUGAGUUUGUUUUUUCUUGCAAGAUUUCCAUUCCUUCUGUUUAGAUAUUAAUCUGUAGUGGUGAUAUAAACAUGGACUCAGACCUACAAACCAGGCUCACCUAGCUUUUCUAUUCCUCUCCUGUGCAUGUCCACUCCCAUAUCCUGCUCUACCUUCAGCUUCUUCCUGGCAGGUUCUUUUUCAUUAAAAAGAGGUUCAAAUCUUCUCUUGUCUCUAGGAUCCAUUGUAGCCCUACCCUUUGCUCUUCAGUCUCAUUGCCACAUUUACCAAAUUUUUAUUCAUCUUUCUUCUUCCAAUACUCUAUGCUGGUUAUAAAUACCUUUCCUAUUACCUAAAGUUUGCUAUAUAGUAUAAUUAGCUAUGAGUUUUAUCCCCAUAUUCUUCAAACUUUUAGUUUUAAGAACAACCUUAUUGAACUUAUAGGGAUCACUUUGAUUUUAAAAAAAUUUGUAAUGAUUUUUGAGAGUCACCAGUUUCUUAGUUUCCUUUUCACUGUAAAAAUAUACAAUGGAUGAUAUUCCAAAUAUAUCAUGCUUUUUAAAUCUUAAAGAGGUCAUCCUACUUCUGAAGAAAAAAAAUUCAAGAACAAUCUUCUGAAUUUUGGUUGCUUCUAUUUAAAAGACAAUAAAAAUUAUCCUAAGCUUGAAGUAAUCAUUUAUUUCUUUUGUUUUCCCCAUUUUACAUUAUUUUUCUUCAUUUUUGUUCAAAUGUUUGGUGUUUUUUUCCUUUUCUUUGGUUUUUAUCUUUUCAGGUAUCAUCUUAUGAUGCAUAAUAGACACCCUACAGAGAUCACUUAGAAACACAACACAAUCAUUAAUACAGUUAGUGAGAUGGAUUGAAAGGUAGAAUGUCUUUUCAUUUAUGCUCUGUAUUCAAACAGAUAGCAAGCAUCAUCAUGAUCAUCUUGAUGGUGAUAAAUGAAAACUAAGGUUUUUUUUCUAGCUAUCUUAUUUUGAUUGAAAUAUAACAAACCAAUUCCCACACUUAAUAGAUGGAUUCAUGCAAACAUAGGAAUACCAAUACAGGCAAAAAGAAAAAAACAGAAAUAUGGUAAUAUACUUAGGAAAAGGAAAAGCAAGAAAAUUAAAACUCAAGCAAUCAAUCUACUCUGAAAAUUCUGCCCCAGGCAAUGACUGUGUUCACAGACUGUGAACUUCCAGUUUUCUCUCAAAACAACCCCAUAUAGUGUAUGGAUAAGUACUUUGAAAUUAAAAAGCAGUGUUUUUCCCAGAAUCUUUGAAGAGAUGACAGUGAUUCUAGAACAAUUCAGAGAGAAAAUAAGAAAUAUUGAGACAGAAAUAACUAGUCAGGAAUUAUUGACUACUAAAUCUAUGUGGUAUAACUUUAUAGUGAGUACAACCCCUUGGAUAGUUACUAGAUCUGAUACAAAUCAUGAUGCCGUAUCAUCUAUCAAAUUUCAAGGGAAAAAAACCCAAUGUAUAACAUAGCAUAACAAAAUACAAAAAAUAAAUUACAUUGAUAUAAAACAGGUUUCAGAGAAGAAAUUAUAAGAAAAAGUAUAAAAGAAUAAUUAUAAAAGAGAAGCAAAAACUUGAAAGAAAUGCACUGAAUGUAUCAGAGUUAAUCACUGCUUGUGGGUUAACAGCUGGCAGCCAUGCACCAUGCAGUUGUCUGCUUACCACUGCCUCACCCCAUGGAGAUCAAGAGGAGAACCAGAAGGGCAAAAAUAAGAAAACUGAUGGGCUGAGAUAAAGACAAAGUAGUAUGUAAUGCAAAAGGUCUCACAGAGAAGCAAAGCAAAACAAGGAAUUCAUUCACCGCUUCCCAAGGGCAGGCAGGAGUUCAGGCAUCUGCAGGAAGGCAGGGCACCCUCAUGGUGACUUAAGAAGGCAGGCACUGUAACUGCCAACAUCCCUCAUUUUCCCCCAGCUUUUAUUGCUGAGCAUGAAGCCAUAUGGUAGAGAAUAUCCCUUGGGUCACUUGGGGACUGCUGUCCCAGCUGUGCCCCCACCCAAAUUCUUGUGCACCCUCAGCCUUCUCACUGGUGGAGUGGUGUGUGGGGCAGAAAAGGCCUUGGUGAUCUGUAUGCACUGCUCAGCAGCAAUCAAACACUGUUAUCAACACAGUUCUCAGCACAAAUACAAACCAGAGUCCCAUAGCUACUCUGAAGAAAAUGAACUCUGUCCCAGCCCAAACCAGUCUGUCAUCUUAUAACAGUCACAUAAAAAUAAUAAGGAAUAUUUAUUGCCUUUGGAAAAAAUAAAAGAGCAUGCUAUAUUAAAAGAGAGGGAAAAAGUAAUACUUAUCAAGGCUGUUAUUGGCAGAGAGGUAAAAGUAGAGUCACUCUCAGUAAAGAAGAUCAAACUCCAUGAAAAAAAAGAGAACACAGAAAGGUUAGGACACUUCAUUAUGACACUUCAUUAUGUUUUCAACAUCAAUGUUUAAGCAGGAACACAAAGUACCAAAUGCUGGGACCAGAUGGUAUCCUUACCCAGUCCAGCACAGAUCCUGGUGGAUUUAUCAGAGCUCAAUCAAUGAAUGCUCCAUUCCAGGGCAGUGCUAUAUAUCACAUUUUGAACUACUAACUUGUCUCAUGUUUAAGCAAGAUGAGGGCAUAGACUAUUCAUUUCAGAGUAUUACUACAGCAACCAUUUAGGUAAAGGUACUUCUUGGGAGAGGCAAACAUAAAACAAGAGAUAACAAAAUUCAAAUUCUAAUUGAAAAUUAGUUAUAAAAACUGUAAAAUCCAUAAAGACGAACCUCUGGGGUAGGAUGGAUUACCAUAAUAUUUUUCACUCCAGCAUCUGUUUGGUAAUCUUGAAUUUCCUGAGACUGUAAACUGUUGUGAAUAAAACAGCAAUUUUUAGACUUUUAUUAAUCAUCACCAAAGACUGAUAUUUAGCUAUUCUUAAUAGCUAAAUAUUAAAUAUUAAAUAGCUAAAUAGCUGCUUAAUAGCAGCUGGAGAUCUUUUAUUAAACUCUUUCCCAUUUAUUCUUAAGCAUUUGCAUUUUGACUACAUGGGCAAGACCUGAAAUACUUGCAAAGUGAGAUUAGGAGGACAUGACCAAGGCACAAGAAGCAAUGACUUGAGGAAAUAACAAAUCAUUAUUUAGAAACAUAUAAUUAGUGUAUUUUCGAUAAGACAAAGAAAAAUGGAUUUUAAUCUGUGAGCCAAAACGUCUCAACUACAUAAAACUAAACCUAUCACAGAAAUUUUGAUUAGCUGUGAAAAAGACAUGAAGCAACAUAUAAAUAAAAUAGGAUGCUAAGCAGAAUGUGAUGAGGUAUAUCAUUAGUAUCUGUUCAGUGUUGAUGAAGAACAGACCAAAAUAAACACUGAACCAUGGAAUAUCUUGGGUUGGAAGUUAAAAUGUAAUCUACUCCAACCCCUACCCCCACAAUGAAAAGCAAUGUCUUCAACCAGGUUAAUUUUCUGAGGCCUGAUGCAACCUGACCUUCAAUGCUUCCAGCAAUGGGGCAUCUACCACUGCUCUUGACAACUUGGACAGCUGCAUAAAUUGGGUCCUUUGUGAUGAGCGCCACUUAUACAGGAGUUGAAAAAGGAAACACAGAGCGUGUUUCAAAGCACAGAGGGAGAACAGUGCACGUGAGUUACACGCUUUGGGUGGCAGAUGAUUUAUGAGUCUUGACAAGGCAAUUUCCAGAUUUUCUAUUUCUGCAUUCAAAAUAUAGUUUGUGUCUAACAGGAACUCCUAUUGCAAUGAAUUACCACGUGCAAAAAAGUCAUAGUUGCUGUGACAUAAAAAAUGGAGGAUUAUUUUGAAAAGUACACACUUAAUCAUGUAUCAUAGUAGAAUGAAUUCCAAAUCAGUGCAAAGGAAAUUUGAUAAUGAGUUGCCCCAGCUUUUGGUAUAUAAACCAAAACAAAAUCCUGUUUCUCAGAUAAGUAAAAAUAAAGGGGAUGAUAAAGUGGAAAAAAUAAAACAUCCACAUCAAGUUAGUUAAUUAAAUAUAUCUUGGCAGUUUCAUUCAUAUUUAAAGCCAACUUUGGCAGAUUACAGGCCUGGAUUUGCUGCAUUUCUAUUCUAAUAAUAGUGCAACAUAAUGUAAGAGUAUUGCUUCACUGAAGUAUUUACUAUUGAAGAGAAAAUUGCUUUUAUAACUAUACCUCCCAAAUAAAAUUUACAGAAAUGCUGAAGAUCAUAAAAAAAGUAAUCAACACUUUGAUUUGAAUUCUCCCACUUAUGUGUGUACAACACUUUCACUACUGUUGAAAGGAUUUAGGAACCUACUCUGAAGGAUAAGCGUAGCUAAUUGGAUUUUUCACUGUAAUUUGCAUUGUAGUUUUUCCUGCUAAGGAUUUUCUACUGUAAAAUUGGGUUCAUUAUAAUUUGUAAUAUUUCAUGGUUAUAAAAAGAAAAUAGAUAUCAAGUUUCUGUGAUAGAAAAUAUGUGAAGGUCUCCCAAAGCCUUUAUUUCUCUCCUCUUUUAUUCAAUCCAUAUGUAAAAAACAGUAUUCCAGCCAUGUGAUAUAUUGUCUAACUCAAAGAAGCUGUUUCUGCUAUGCAUAUAGCCUUAAACUUUCAUGAUGCUUACACUGUGUCUCCUUCUGGAAUUCAUCUGGUCAUUAGAAACCACACUAUCUUCUCAGCCAAGUAAUCUAUUCUAUUACAACAAAAAAUUAUUAACCUAACUGUUAUAAAGAUCUCUAAGAAUGACUUUUCAUAAACACUUAAAUGUACAUCUGUUAUCUAACCCAUGUUGUCCAUAUGACUUAAUAACUUCUUAAAUUAUUUACUUUUAUUUUGCUUUUUAAUAAUUUUGAAAAUGGGAAUUUUUUUUUCAGAAGCCUAAGUAUCAAUUUAGAAAGCUCUGCUGGCGUAAAAAUAUAAAACUUGGUCUUGAUAUCAUUUGCAUCAGCGAGACCUAUUUUAUGGCAGCAAUGGCUAAGUUAUGUCUUCUGCUAGGAAGGGAAAAUGUAAGCAAAGAACUGUUUUAAACAGAUAUUUGCAGGCUAGGAAAUGCUAAAUCUUCCUCUCAUUCUGAAGCUGGAAUAGUAAUGAUAUGUAAUUUUGAAGAAGAUUAUUUAUUAGUGACAAGAGAAUAUUUCCUGGUUGUGCCGGUUGUUACGUCCAUGCUAAGAAAUGGGAUUAGGUGCCACAUUUGUCUGUGACACAGAAGGAUUACUGUGCUUGAACUGUAGAUCUGCUAUGUAUAGAAAAGGCCACUUCUUGAGAGACAUCUGUUCGUUUGGAUGUUACUCAGCUUCUGUUUCCCACCAAGAUCAUUGCAAAGGAGAGAAUGGGUAAGUCAUUGGCAGGAAAUACUCUGCCUGAGUUAUUCUUGCUCUGUUGAGCAUAUGGCUCCAUUGUCUGUCACCACUUAGACCCAUAUCACUUUAUUUUGUUGAAAUAAAUGAAACACUUCUUGAUUUCUAAAUGUUCAUGGGAUACAAAUAAUUCUUAUGGAUAAAUUUGAUCAUGAGAGUUUUGAUUUGUGGGCUUCAUAAGAAUACUUUUUUUCUCUAAGGGCCAUGAAUACAAAUUAAAACAAGUAUAAGAGAUUUUUAAAGAAUGUGCUAUGCUUAAUGCCAUUAUUUCUAUUUUUUUUUCUAACUAAUGUCUCUAAUUAACCUAGACCUACCUCUUAUGAUUAAAAAAAAAAAAAAAAAACUCUCUUUAAGUACUUUUUUCCUGCUCUGCCAAUUCUUGCCCAAUUUUUCAUGUGUUCAUGGCUUUAUAAAAUAAGAAAUGAACUGCAUUUUUUUUCCAGGCAUCAAGGCAAUUCCUUCCAGAACCAGUCAUGUAAAGAGUGAUCUGAAAAAUAAUUGAGCACACAGAGUGUGAAAUUUUAAAGGAUAUUAGAAGACAUUCAUUGCUUUGAAUACCUUAUUGAGUGGUAUAUAACAGUGAAGUGCUGAUGAGAUGAUUAAGUCAAUUAACAGUCGCAGAGAAUUACAGCAUAUUUGCAAUAUGUCAUCCCAACAUGACCUUAUGUACUCUUGUAUUGAUACAACAUCACAGUGAAAAAAUUGAAAGGCAUUAUCAAGGCACCCUGUUGUGGUUACUUUGUUUAUUUCCAUAACUAUUUUACAUUAUUUUUCUUAUCUUCCUUCUUUUUCCUUUUACACAUGACUUCUUAGAGGAGCCAAAGUAAUUCACAUUGUAUAUAAUCUCUUUCCCUCUUUUCAUAACUCCUUUUUUACUAUGUUUUGGUUUUGUUGUUUGUUUUGUUUUCUUUUUGGGUUGAUUUUCCUUUUAUGCAUGAUUAUCACUGACAUGGUAUUGUUUGUUUAUCAUUUUAUGACUUUAUUAAGGCAAUGGCAGAGAUCUUACUCUCUGGGUAUUUUCUGGUCAUAAAAGAAGAGCUUUAUAAACUCUUACUGACUAUUUAGUAAUUAUAGUCAGGGAUCAAAAAAUAUACAAGUCCCUGUAUUCCAGAAGGAUUCAGCUAACUCAGCCUUUUGUGAACCUUGAUAAUAUAAUUUAAGGAAGUAUGUUGACUUUUUAAAAAGGCAAAUUUCAAGCCUUCAGCAUCUCACAUUUCAGCCCUAAUGCAAGAUGUGAGAGGUACAGAUUCAACACAGCAUAUGGCUUUAAAGUUGUUAUUACAGAUUUAGAGCAUAGAGCCAUUUCCAGUGCUGUGAAAUUCCUUCCCAUGAAAUAUAAUUUUCAAUUUGCAUUUUUUUUGUUUCCUCCAUUAUUUUAUCCUCCAUUUAUAUUUUAACUCCCACAGCACUCUACUAGAUAAUGCCAGCUGAUGAGUCAGCAUCAUAAAGGCAGCACAGACAUUAUGAUAACUAAGUUUCAUUUUCUAGUCUCUGAAGAGGCAGCCACCAGCUUUGUUGCAAAGAAAAAUUAUUUGUAUUGCACACAAAAUACGUGGGUAUUCAGAGUGAGUUUUAUAUCAUGUUCAGUAUGAAAUUAAUAGGGAAAUAUUAUGAUUUUAUCCCACAGAAGGUGUAACAGUAGCCAAAGGUAGGUUUGGGAGAUAUAUGGUUGAUAAAUAUGCAAAUAAACGUAUGGAAAAACUUUACUCUCUGUCUACCUCUCUGUCUUUUCACAUAGUAGCCUGAAACAGUCUAAACACAAAAACAGGAGAAAAUUUAUGGAAUAUGUGGACUAUAAGUACCCUGUAUGUGUUUUUUUCACAUAAAUAUGAGUGCUGUUAAAAGGUCAAGACGAAACCAAGAUAAUUUGGAGCUAGGAAGACUGUGGUUUGCAUUCUAGGAGAUUAGAUGCUGCAAAUGAAACCUGAGCCGUAGUAAAACAGGUUACAUAUCUGAUCAAAAAUGGUGAGUAUAGGAGGAUUGUAGAGAAGCAGUGGAAUUAUAUUUUCCAAAGCCAUUCACAUCAAAAAAUGAUGCAUUCCUGUCAGAAACUAAAGAAACUAGAGUUUGAGGCUGAAAUUUAUCUGACAUAAAACAGCUGACUUCUGGAGCUUAUCUGGUCAUCUACAGUUCCCUUUAUUGUAAAUGGAGAUGAAUAACAAAUUCAUCUCAUUAUAAAGUAAAUAGCUAAAAUAGAUUAGAUUAAUCACACAAUAAAAGCAUUAAUUUAUCUUUUUCAACUAAAACAGUCUCUCUAAUUAGCUAUUCUCUCAAUGUAUACAUCACAGAUGUUUAAAGUUAAGCUAGAUACAUCCCUUCAGUACACAAUCCUUCCAUGAAUUUUUGAAAAAAUUCAGAUUUUUUUCAUAUUUUUUUUAUACCUAUAGCAACUUAUAAAUUGAAACUUGGACAAUUGCAACUUUUAUAUGCAUACAAUAUUUUUUAUACAAUGCAAGAAAUAAUCAGAGAUGUAAAUAACAAGUGGAACAAAUAUUAUACAGAUAUAUUGUACCAACAAUGAAUCCACAAUACACUUCUGAAUGUUACCAACAAGCAAAUUAAUAAAGUAUUAUUAAGAAUUGUAAUGGUAAUAUCUCAAAAGCUGCUUUCAGUUAAAGAAAAUCCGAUUAAAAUUUGCCUUUUUUUAAUCAUUUACUGUGAAGCAGAAAGUGAUAAAAUCUAUCGCCUGCAUUCUUCUCCUCUGUUCUUCUAUGACGUGCUGUCAUUCCUUUGUUUGCUUAGUAUUUCUGUAACAACAGAAUAAGGGAAGCAGCAGUCCACAGGAAACCUACAGAGAGGUAGUUAAAAUGAUAAAGAGCUGGGGAUUUUUUUGACUAGGUGGGAGAAUAUAUCAUAGCUUUAUCUUCUUGUAACAUAUUGAGACAAUCUAUUACCGUACAAUGCUAGGCACAAAACAUGGCCACUAAUGAAUUCUACUGAUAUCAGUCAACUGAUCUGAACAACAUUGUCUUCAAGGGUUAAUGCUUUUAAAUCUGAAUAUUCUCACAAGGGUUACUUGUUCACAUGGUUUCUGAAAGCUAAGGUAGCAUAUUUUAAUUUAAGUUAGUUUAACAUAGUUUAAUUAGUUAGUUAGUUUAAUUAAUUUAGUUAGCAUAGUUUAAGUUCUGAAAAGUCCAGUUGACAAAUGUUACACAUUUUAGCCAGAGUAUGAAGACUCAGAAGCCAUCUUAAGCCGAAGACAACAGAGAGAAAGACCUAAGCUAUUGCAUGUGUAUAUUGAAGUGAGCGACUAAAAAUAUUUUAGCCUUCUGUUUUGAAGAAGCCGGGCAGCAAAGAAUGCUCAUAAAUUAGCUUCCUAACACUUUUGAAUUUAGAAGUGAUUGUGAUUCAAAUCAUACUUAUGAAGUUUUCUUUCUUACUCUCUUAUUACUCUCUUUCUUUCUUAUUACAUCUUUGCUUACUCAGAAAAAUAAUAAUAUUAAGGUGUUUUGAAAAGUCUUGAUACUCAAAAUUGUCCAGAUGUUUGAUUGUAUAAUCAUGAAGAUUGAAUUUUUUUUUAAAGAAAUCUGGCUCUUAAUUUAGCAAAGAUUUAAAUUAAGAAACAUAAUUAGAGAUGCUAAAUAAUUGUUCUUGAUGCAGGAGAAUAGACUAUUAAUGAAUGUUGAAUAAAAUUUUUCUAUUACCUAUUAGAAGUUAGUAUAGUAGAAGUUCUGCCUUGUGAUUAAUUGAGUUUACUCUCUUUGCCCCGAAAGGCAGCAACCUUUGAAAAGUGUCUUGAAGUCCCUAUUUCCCUUAGCUGUUGAUAACUGACAUCAGUUGAAAUCUCCCCAUAUGCGAGACUGAGCAAGAGAGCUCUCUGGCCUGGCAGGAGUUUAUGGUCUUUCCUAUUUUCCAUGGCUUAGCUGAGUCUACCUCUUCUUUCAAGCAGGAUGUGUCUGUUUUGCUUUUUGCUACAGAGAAUCAUCUGGAAUGAAUUUUACGUAUCUUUUAGUUUGUUUUGUCUUCCAAAUCCUUGCCUUUCUCCAGCAUGCUUCUUUCGUAGCUGAAGACAAAAAGAAGCUAGCAACUAUAGUACCCAUAGUUUUGCAAUAGUUUUGUAGACUUCAGUUCACCUCUCAUUAUAUUGAGAUUAGAAAUGAAAGAACACAGAGUACCAAUGCUGUUACUUUUUUCAGAGUCAAUACGAGGGGGGCAGAAGUAAAAGAAUUCUGUAUUUUACAUGAGAAAAAUGUAAAAAGGUUUGCUUUUCCUAAUAAGCUAUUUAAUUCUUUCAUUGUCAUGGGAUAGUUUGCUCAACAGAAAGAGCAAGAAAAGACAAUGAAAGACCCAGAGAUUAGUUCAAAAAGUCAGAUAAUACAGUGAAUUAAUUAACUCUGUAAUAUUAACCAUUAAUAUUUUCUAAAGGUAACUGGCUCCUUAAGAUUUGAUAAUGUUCUGGCUCAAACAACUAGAGGUUUUAAGCUGACCCCAGUUUUGGCAUCCUUUGGUUUUAAGUGUUUGACAAAGCAGCCAAAUAUCUCUCUUCCUCACAAUGUCCCUUCCUACUGUACAGAAAAUAAAGCUUUGCUGAAAAUUCCUCAGAUCAAAGCAUUUUUUUAACCAUAGCCUACUGAUAGAAGUGAGAGGCGGAAACAGAUGAAGUGGAAAAAAAAUGAAUGAGAACAUGAGCAUUGCUCUAAUUCUCAGGGAAGGCAGCAGCAUUAGAGGUAGUCCAGGCAAGAGGUCUGUCUCAUUGUUUUCCAAAUGGUGAUAUUGCCAUGCAAGAUAAGCAAAAAACAGCUGGACUUUAUUGUCACUCUGUUUUCUGUUUUAACAUUUCUUAUUCAGGAGAACUAGGUAUAUUUAAGGCACUAGUGUUACAUGAAUAAUAGUAAUCCAACUAAAAGGCAUUCCUAAAACCUGAAACUAUAAUACCUUCAAAAAGUAAAAGAAAUUAUAGGUAAAAAAAAGCCAUGCAAAAUCAAGAAAAGAAAAUAAAAGAAAGCUUUCUAACAGAUCUGAAUCUGUUGGGUUAAUAUAUUAUUUUGAAAAGUAUGUUUUGGAUUCCAUUUUCAUUCAUAAUUUAAGAUCACAUUGUAAAAGGAAGUAAAGGAGUCAAAUAGGGAAAAAGAAGGCCCUGAUAAAGAUUUUUCUUAAUAGUAUGCUGAAGAACAGAAUGAGAGCACAUUGGAAGUAUUCUCUGAGAAACUAGAUUAUAUUGUGGUAGAAUGAGGUACAAGAUGAAAGAUCUGCAUACAUACAUAACUUGAGAAAACCUGCCUGUUCUUUCCCUUUGACUUUUUUUUCCAGUGAUUAAUUUGGAAAUGAUCAGAGGGGCUCUUUUUCUUCUUCAGUUGUAUAGCUUUGAGGAACAAAUUAUUUUUUACUUAAACAGACAGAUGUAGCUUUCACAAAGUGUAAGUUCUUUAAUUGAAAAAAGCCAUGAAACAAAUUUGAGUUAGAGGAGCUUUUGUGUCAUCACCAUAUAAUUAAUACUCCUCUGAAGUCACCGAAGAAUGAGAGUAUUAAUUUAAGUUUGUAAAAAGAAUAGUCAAGAUUCUAAUGAAACUACACAAGUUGAUUUCUUUUCUUUUUUUUUCUUUGUCUUUUAUCAUUAAGGCAAAAACUGACACUGCAAAACCAAUUUACAGCACAAGAAUAUGCUGUUGAUUAGAGAAGCUGGUUUCUUUAAAACCAUAAAUACAAUCUUGAUAUUUCAGUGUAAUUUAGAGUUGUGUCAAAGUUAUAAUUUAUUUUGCAGACAAUGGAAGAUAUCCAGAAAGAUAUUUCUGGGAGUACUGAGCUGUGACAAUAAGUGGUUUCAUGUCUUUGGUGUUCACUGAUGUCUAAAACAUCCACCUUCUCCAGAACGGGCUCCUCUCUCUACAGGUCUGCAUGUCCUUUCCAGGCCCUUGAUGGAACACGAGUUUCCCAUGGCUUCACAGCCCUCUUUUGGGCAUCCCCCUACUCUGGCACAAGUCUGCUACAUGGGCUGCAGGGGGAUCUCUGUAUGCCCAUGGUCCUCUAUGGGCUGCAGGAGCACAGCUGCUUCACCACAGUCCUCACCACGGCCUGCAGAGGAAUCUCAGAUCCUCCCCCUCCUUGGUAUCUGUAGACUUCCUCCUCUCACAUGUUCUCACUCCACUCCUCUCUGGCCACUAUUACAUUGCACAAUAACUUUUAUUUUCUUCUUAAACAUGUUAUCACAGAGGCUUUACCAUCAUUUCUAAUUGACCCUGCCUUGACCAGAGGCAUGGCCAUUUUUGGAGAUACUGGAGAUUGGCUCUGCUGAACAUGUAGGAAGCUUCUGGCACCUCCCCACAGAAGCCACCCCUGUAAUGCCCCUACUAUCAAAAUCUGGCCAUGCAAACUCAGUACAGAAAUCUCUGGCUGGGAUGCUAAGGAUCUUAGAAGUUAUAAAGUUUUUGAGUGUACACCUGGAAAGGUAGACCCAGAUCAUAACCUAUCAUAGCUUUGUCUGCUGAGCAGCUGGGUAUUUGGAGUUUGAAAUGCAAGUUUGGGGGAGGUUCUCAACUCUCCACCAGGCGAGCUGAAAGAAAGCCAAGAGCCUCGAAGCCUUGGCUAGACAGAGAUACCUGGCAGCCAGGACUCGCAGCUCACAUCAUGCCAUGUGGAUCCUGAAGAGUUGGUAGCCUGGAAGUCCACCAACAGCCUUCAAAAAAAGACAGUUGGGUGAGCUAGCAUUGUGGAUUACUGUUGGAAACCUGCCCCUUUCUGUCAGAACUUUGUCAAAACUAAACUGUCUCCGGCAAAUACUUUAGUUUUGAUGAACUUGCAGUCUCUGCUCCAUCUAACAAUUUCCAAAACACUGAUUCUGGAGUCUAUAAUUUGGGAAGUAAGGCUCUUCAGCAGGAAAACAAAUGCUCUCCAGAAACACAUACAGUUUUGUACAACUGGCAAACAAAAAUCCACACUAAACUAAUUGAGAUAUUCUUUCAUGCAUGACUGAUGAAAGCUGCUUUGCCUGGCUUCUUUUUAACAUUUUUUGUUUGUUGGGUUGAUCAUCUACACUUUUGAAAUGGAGACUAUUGUUGCUUACUUGUGCACUUAUUCCUCAGAUAUUUGUCUGUUCUCAACAUUAUUUUGGAAAGUGUUGCCACUUAUGAACAUCAGUGAAAUAACUCAGCUAAUGACUCUAUCAUUAAAAUAUGGAUAGAUCUAUAGAUUAAAAGCUCCAUCUAUACUGCAAGGAGAAAGCUGAACUACAUUAUUAUUAAUUUUUCUCUUUUAAAUAAUCUACAUAAAUAUGGGAUUUAUUUAAUCAAUAUUGAUUUUUAUUUAAUCCAAUGUUUCUAUAACUUUAAAGACCAGGUGUAAAGAAAGUCCUAGUCUUUCUAGAUUAGUAAGUCUUGAUUUUUCAAUUGCCAUAUUUUUAGGAUAAUUUUUUCCACAAAAAUAAUGUCGUUUUUCUUUUGCUCUUUAUACAAUAAAUCUUUCUAUAUAAGCUGAGAAAAACAUAAUGUAAUAAAUAACUUUGAAUGAUUGUGUUAUUCUACAUUUAGACACAGAAUGGCAUUGAGAUUUUGUGGGGUUUUUAUCUCUGUUCUCUGUAAGCACUAUUUAAAAGAUAUAUUCUCUAUCUGUAAAACAGAUUUCAGAUAGUUCACAAGAGCAUAAAUGAAUACAAGUAACACAGAGGUGUUCAGCAGAGGUUCAGCUCUUCUCAGGAGUAUCCUUCACACAAAUAUAAUGUCACUGCACUAGAAAUGUCUGGAUAUUCUGGAUUUCAAAAGGACUGUGCAUUAUUCAUUUAUUGUGGCUGGGAUUUCAAAGCGACAAAGGAGCUGAAUUCCAAGCCAAUAAGAAUAGUUGGUUUUUGGUUUUUCUUAUACAUUCUCUCUUACUCUGUGCCAUUUUUUUUUUCCCAGAAAUUAUCAUUUCUGUGAGAACUUGUUUUGUUGGAGCUUUGGGGUUUAUUUUGUUUUAGUUUGAUUUUUUAAAAUUAAGUCAUUUGAUCUAAUUUGGAUUUCACUAUGGUUUGUUUGCCAUAACACUGAUGCGAGCCUAAAUUUUAUAGUUACUGUACAUUAGUACCUAAUUAUAUCAGGUGCCCAACACCAGAGAUAAUAACAGAUCUCUGACAAAAAGACACCAACUAAUGCACAAAUUAAUUAAUGUUAUUUCAGUGAGAUUGCAUUGGUUCUAUCAAAUACCCUGAAACCACCAGAAAUGUUAUUAGCAAUGUGAGGGCUGCACUGAACUUUUCCAGUGCAGAAAAUCACAGUACGCUCACAUAACUUCUAGUUGCCUAAACUUAUUGAAGUCAAAACUAUGCACUUUUUUUUUUUUUUUCAGAGGGUGGCUAUGGAUCACAUUUACUUUUCAAUUGGUGUAGAUUGUCCAUUUCAAGAAGGCAGUCAAAUCACCUGGCCAUUCCAAGUACCUAGACCUUUCUUUCAUGGUUCAAAGCACCCUUCCCUGAGAAUGUAACACUUUGGAUUAAACUCUGAAAAGAUCGUAAAUGCUGUGCAAACAUGCUGCAGAAAUUGCAGCAUCAGUUUGAUAUAUGAGUACUUGAAUGUUAGUUUCUUGUGUCUCCUGAAAUAAGGAAAAGAAAAAUGAAGGAAGAAACCAGGGAAAGGAGGAAAAGCUAUGUAAUACAAAUAUAUUGGCCUUGUUUCAUGGAGAACAGAGAGAGAAUUGGGCUGCUAAGCUUCUACAUCAUGUAAAAAAUCAAAAGUUUCAACAGGAUUUCUGUGAAAAAUAUAUUCUGAUCAGACAAUCCCCUCUUCCAUUUUUGAUCUUUGAACAGUGAGAAAUUUUCUGUGCAGGUAAAAAAAUAUUGAUUUCUUUCUACUUUCCAUUUGAAUUUGAUCCAGAGAAUAUUUUCUGAAAUAUGACUAAUAGGUUUCAAAUGUGGAACAAUUUGAAGCAUCAAAAUAGAGUUAAAAUUGAUUGAUUACAACUAUUUCUAUAGGUAGCAAUUUUGGGAAUCCCAGUUUAAGGGCCAGAGGAACAAAUAGGGUUGUACCUGUUGCUUUUGCCUUUUUCUACUUUCAAGAAAAAAAAUUGAGGUAUUGCAUAGUCAUUAGAGGAAAGCUCCUGGUGCUGGAAAAAAUAUUUCUCAUUUCAAGUAACUAAUGGUAAAUAAAACAGAGAACAUAAACCAGGAAUUAGUUAAUUCCAACCUCAAAUAUCCUGAACUUGCUUUAGUCUUCACAUGUUUUUCUAUUUGUUUUAAGGUGGAUUUAAAGGGACUUAAAAAGGAGUGAAGCCAAGGGGAAAAAUCUAGGAAGAAAACCAAAAAAGAUAGAGAGCUCUGCAAACAAAUGUAAAAGUAUACUACAUAAAGGCUUAGAUAAGGAGGCUUAAAAAAUCUAAUAAAAAAGCCAGGUCACCUUUUACCACAACCUGGAUUAUUUGUUUUAUCUAUGAACUAUGUUCCAUCUCUAUAUAUGGCUUUCUCUGUCCUCUAGCUAUCUGUAAUAUUAACUUUAGCUUUAUUGACUUCCCUAGUGGGAAAUUAGGUUGAUUGAAAAAUUUACUCUUCCUUCUUUUUAUUUUUUUUUUCUGGAAAACAAACAAAUAAAUACAAAACCCAAACAAGUUUUCAUAGGAAGAGAAAUUCUUUUGCUUCACUAGUAGCUUAAAAAUGAUUUCAAGCAUAAGUAUUUCUCACUGUUAUUUGGUUAAGAUACAUGUGGUGUUUUCCCCUUUCAAGAACAAAUUAUGCAUGUCACACAGGCUGACAGGCAUAUAUUUUAAGGUUUAUCAGUAAUGUCACAGAAUGCCCAAAGUCUAAAAUUUCAAUUUUGCUCUCUGUGUGGGAAAGUACCAAACUACCUUAUUCAGUGCUGAGAACAGAUUAACUGAUUUUAUUAUCUUUCUUAGAAGAAAACCAGAAUGUGUACGCAGAUAAAAAUAUUGUAAAAAGUCUGUCUAAACAGCAUAUUUUCUUUCCUUAAAGAAUUCUUCAAAGUCCUUUGAUGAAAAGAGUUUAAUAAGAUUUUUGUGCUUCCUCCUGUCCACUACAUGAAAAUCUCCAGCCAAACAUUCAGAGCUCAGUUUGGGAUAAGCUGAGGGUGUCCAUCCAGAUGUAGAAAAUAUGUUAUUUAAUUCUUUAACUGAAAUUUUUUAUUAUCUUUAGCACAAGGAAAUAUUUUUAACAAAAUAAAAUAUUUUUAACAAAAAUGGGGACUAUAAAAUCAUAUAAAAUCAUACAGAAAUAUGAAUGAUGUCCAAGGGUCUAGAUUUUCUUCCUAAGCUGGAAGUGUGUUACAGCUAGAAAUAAAGAUUUUCUAUAAUAUAAACACUUAUUUUAAAGAGUUGCUAACAACUAGAUCUGUAUUUCUAUUACUGUUAUUCAGGAGAAAAGAGUUGGAUGUGUUCUCUGAACAUAUUUCCAAUGUUGAAAUGGAAUUCAGCAGAUUUGUGGAAAUCUGAUUUAUAAAGCUUUGCUUUUCUGCUUGAAGUGUUAAUUUUUUUUCCAAAUGGGAAGUGCAGAUGAGGACUUCAGAAAGGACAGAAAGGUAACUGAAGGGACUACUGGUAUAUAAAGUGAAGAAGAAUAAAGCAUUAAAAGUAGCCUUAGUCUAAUGAGGGAUGAUAAGGAUUAAUGUAACAGUAUGUGAAAGGGAGGUGAGAGAAAAGCCUGCAUGAAAAACUACAUUUACCAGUAAGCAAUUAAUCCUUUCAUUCAAAAAAAAAAAAAAAAAAAAGGAAAAAAAAAAAAAAGGGUGAUAUUGUAUCCUGCUAUUCUAGACACUUCAUCUCACUAUCCCUUUCAUUAACAUACUGAGUUCUGUCUCAUAAAUGGCAAGUUUUUUGUCUCCUCUCAGUCCCAACAAGCUGUUCCUGAAUAUCUGACUGAUCAUUAGGAACUUUCAUCUCACUCCAGAUUAAAUUUUUCAUCACCAGUUUUACUUCUCUGUGAUGUGAUAGUCACCACAUAAGAGCUGUUGUACUCUACUGCAAGGUCUGCCAUUUUCAAUAAUUAAUAUUUAGGGACCUUGAAGUACACAAGCCCAAACUAAAAUGGACACCAGAAAUGUCACUCUUGCUUCAUCACUGUGGUAAUAUGGCCAGAAUAACAGAGCAAAUUUUUGGCAAAAUGGCAAAAUUAUGGAAAAAUUAUUAGAAAUGUCACAUAACUAUUCAGUGAUCAGAAUACAAAUGUGACAAGCCAAAUUUUUCUUUCUUUAUAACACAUGUUACAAUUUAUUUUAUAUAGCGAUGUCUGUAUAUGUGGAGCUCCAAAUGGUAUUUACACAGUGCAGGAAUACAGAUGAAGAGUUUCAGCCUAACUUCUUACCCACUGUUUCAAUAUGGUUUUUUGAACUAGAUGUAAAUUGGUAGUAGCUAAGCACCAAAUAGAUCUAACUAGAAGUAAAUACUUUUCUCCUAAUCCACUUUAGUUAAAUUGCAUGUUGGCUUUUGGGUUAUUUUUUUCCCUGAAUAAUCUGUCAAGGCAUACAUUACCUAGCAUUUCUCAGCCCUGUAUCACAUGUAAUAGAUAAGAGUUAGCCACUACAUUUAGUUUUUCUGAUUACCUACACAUAUACCUAAAAAUAAUUCCUCAAUAUUAACAACAUUGAUACUGACUUUUUGAUAUUAACUUUGAUAUUACACGAUCAGGUAGCUUUUCAGCAUCCUUAGCUGAAUUUUAAAAGUCACAUUCUUUAGCCUUCUGUCAAGCUUCUGAGUGUCUUCCUUGGCCUUCCCAUGCUUGCUCCAUUCUGAGUUCUCUUUUCAUGAGCAUCAGUAACAAGAAUUGUAUAUGCAUUCUGCAAGAAUAAGCUGGCAUAAGUUUAUAGUGAGAUCAAUAUCUUCCUUCCUCCAAUGAAAAUCUCUGUUCUGCUUUACUAAGAUUUUUUUUUUGUAUUUUUCACAGCUACAUCAAGUUAGCAGCUGGAAAUGAUUCUGUAAUCAACAAGCAGCACUAAAGUACUUUCAUCUGUUUUUCUAAAGAUAAGUUCCUAGAUUGAUGUCACAGAAGUUUAUCUUAAUAAACCUGAAGCAUAUAAUCCUGUAUGUUUACCAAUUGCAUUGCAUCUUAAAAUUCCUGUCAUCCCAAUGGUUAGUUCCUCCUUUAUAUGUUAAUUAUUUUUUGUAGACAACAUUUUCCAACUCAAUUUCAUCACAAAUUCUCUGAGGCAAAUCUUGUCCUUUCUCCUUUAGGUAAAAAUAUUAAACAAACCUGUGCUAAAAAUUGUUCUUGUGAAAUACCACCCAACUGAUCCUUUCAAAUUCCUUGUCAUCUCCUUUUCAGGUUGUUUUUCCUUUGCUUUUUAAUUAAAUGACAAUCCAAUUUUCACUACUUUUUUUUCCAUAAAGAAUUGAAAUAGAUGCUCUCCUCUGGUCCAAAUAUGAAAAAUACUGCAGGUCUCAUCUAUC
Taeniopygia guttata (zebra finch) is the source of this 20997-nucleotide non-coding RNA. The record is from RefSeq and is a predicted model, not a curated record. NCBI's taxonomy places the organism in Eukaryota, Metazoa, Chordata, Aves, Passeriformes, Estrildidae.